RNAcentral lists this transfer RNA (71 nucleotides) under Ictidomys tridecemlineatus (thirteen-lined ground squirrel). Its description in RNAcentral is "Spermophilus tridecemlineatus (thirteen-lined ground squirrel) tRNA". It matches the Rfam family "tRNA". From Rfam's summary of the family: Transfer RNA (tRNA) molecules are approximately 80 nucleotides in length. Lineage: Eukaryota; Metazoa; Chordata; Mammalia; Rodentia; Sciuridae. The record is from Rfam by way of RNAcentral.
GGGGUUGUGGCUCAGUGGUAGAGCAUACACCUAGCAUGUGUGAGGGCCUGGGUUUGAUCCUUAGAACCACA